Molecule: long non-coding RNA, 1185 nt
Organism: Salvelinus namaycush (lake trout)
Lineage: Eukaryota; Metazoa; Chordata; Actinopteri; Salmoniformes; Salmonidae
Exons: 4
Source: RefSeq, a predicted model, not a curated record
UUUAGUCUUCUAUUCUAUGUCUAUUCUACAGUGUAUAUUGAGGGUCUAUGCUGUGUGUUAUCUGUGUUUAAUCUCAGGGUGCUAUGAUGGUUGUGUGUGUUAACUGUGUUUAAUCUCAGGGUGCUAUGAUGGUUGUGUGUGUUAACUGUGUGUGGAGUCUGGGGAGACAGUGGGUGUUUGAGACUGGAGAUGCUGUGAAGAGCUGUCCUACUGUGGACCCCCUCGCAGGCUUGGUGAUGGUGGGGUCGCAGGAUGGCCACGUCUAUGCCCUUGACCCACAGGUUUGGCAGUGUGUGUGGACGCACCACUGUGGGAGUGGAGAUGUGUUCUCCUCACCCUGUCUCGAUCCCUCUCUGACAGCAGUGUGUCGCCACCCUUGGUGGAAACUUCCUCUGUCUCCAUCCUGACACUGGUAUUGUCCUGUAGAUGUAUUCCAGGAAGACUACAUUUUUCUCCAUCCCAAGCUGCUUCAUUGGAAACCUAAUCAUCGGCUCUGUGGAUGGAAACAUCUGCUGCCUCACCCACACAGGGAAAAUGCUGUGGCAGUAUGUGACCAAGGGCAGUCUUCUCAUCUUCUCAUCGCCAUGCAUCAUACCAGACAAGCAGAGCAUUGUGUGUGGGUCACAUGACGGGUGUGUGUACUGUCUGAACUGUGCUGACGGCUCAUUGAUGUGGCGUUUCCAGAGGGUGUACUCCAGCCCCUGUGUGUUUGAGGGGUCACCCUGAGGUAUGGAAGGUACAUUGGUGGGCCUGGCCUCCACAGAUGGGACCCUGUGUGUUUGAGGGGUCACCCUGAGGUAUGGAAGGUACAUUGGUGGGCCUGGCCUCCACAGAUGGGACCCUGUGUGUUUGAGGGGUCACCCUGAGGUAUGGAAUGUACAUUGGUGGGCCUGGCCUCCACAGAUGGGACCCUGUGUGUUUGAGGGGUCACCCUGAGGUAUGGAAGGUACAUUGGUGGGCCUGGCCUCCACAGAUGGGACCCUGUGUGUUCUGGAUGGAGAGAAUGGAACUCUGAGAGCCUCUCUUUGCCCAGGGAGCUCCUCUCCUGUGGUGUGGCAGCGCUCCUGGUGGUCGAAUGACGCAAUGACUUUGUGUACUGUGUGGAGCCGACAGAUGAGCUCAAAUAGUUUCCUGAGAUGACAUGUAUGACAUCAUGUAUUUUUGUACUAUGUUAUAAUAUUAAAG